Molecule: ribosomal RNA, 444 nt
Filed under: uncultured bacterium
Lineage: Bacteria
Description: partial 16S ribosomal RNA
Rfam family: Bacterial small subunit ribosomal RNA
Source: RNAcentral
CCAGACUCCUACGGGAGGCAGCAGUGGGGGAUAUUGCACAAUGGGGGGAACCCUGAUGCAGCGACGCCGCGUGGGUGAAGAAGCGCCUCGGCGCGUAAAGCCCUGUCAGCAGGGAAGAAAAUGACGGUACCUGAAGAAGAAGCCCCGGCUAACUACGUGCCAGCAGCCGCGGUAAUACGUAGGGGGCAAGCGUUAUCCGGAUUUACUGGGUGUAAAGGGGGCGCAGACGGCAGCGCAAGCCAGGAGUGAAAGCCCGGGGCCCAACCCCGGGACUGCUCUUGGAACUGCGCGGCUGGAGUGCAGGAGGGGCAGGCGGAAUUCCUGGUGUAGCGGUGAAAUGCGUAGAUAUCGGGAGGAACACCAGUGGCGAAGGCGGUUUACUGGACCACAACUGACGCUGAGACACGAAAGCGUGGGGAGCAAACAGGAUUAGAUACCCGAGUA